Molecule: non-coding RNA, 161 nt
Organism: Pelobates cultripes (western spadefoot toad)
Lineage: Eukaryota; Metazoa; Chordata; Amphibia; Anura; Pelobatidae
Source: the annotation of a GenBank genome assembly
CAGCAGACACAUUCCAGCCAAUCAGCAGCAGACCCUCCCUCUCAGACCCUCCCACCUCCUGGACAGCAUCCAUUGUGAAGCUGCAUUCUUAGUGAGCUGUCCAGGAGGUGGGAGGGUCUGGGAGGGAGGGUCUGCUGCUGAUUGGCUGGAAUGUGUCUGAU